CAUUAGUGAAGACAGGGUUUGAGACUGCGUCGUUGAACGACGUGUGCUCGACUCUUACUCUUAUCCACACCUUUGUGCACCAUGGGAUUCGUCCCCUCUUUAUUAAACACCAGUUAUAUGCAUGUCAUGAUACUCAUAGAGUAAUUAAUAUACAACUUUUAACAACGGAUCUCUUGGCUUUCGCAUCGAUGAAGAACGCAGCGAACGUGCGAAACGUAAUGUGAAUUGCAGAAUUCAGUGAAUCAUCGAAUCUUUGAACGCAUCUUGCGCUCCUUGGUAUUCCGAGGAGCAUGCCUGUUUGAGUGUCGUGAAAUACUCAAUUUCAAUCCUUUUUUGGUUGAAAUUGGAUUUGGGUGUUGUCGUGAAGGAUCACGACUCAUCCUAAACGCAUUAGCGAUCUGGCUUUGAUCACACACAAUGUGAUAAGAAAAGCAUUGUUGAUUGGAGUGAGGGUUGCUUCUAGCCGUCGAAAGACAAGCGCAUAUAACAUGUCAUUUGACCUCAAAUCAGGUAGGAUUACCCGCUGAACUUAAGCAUAUCAAUA
This 544-nucleotide ribosomal RNA is filed under the name Geastrum elegans. Its description in RNAcentral is "eukaryotic LSU rRNA". The stretch from base 154 to 308 matches the Rfam family "5.8S ribosomal RNA". The record is from RNAcentral. Lineage: Eukaryota; Fungi; Basidiomycota; Agaricomycetes; Geastrales; Geastraceae.